CAUAAUCGUUAGGCAUUACUGUCCAUCCUCAUUCAGUGACUUUGCCUGUACGCGUGAACGAAAAAUAAAAUAUAUGAUAAAUGUAAUAUGUGCUCUCCGGACAUUCCAUUCGGCACCUGAAUAUAUGUCUGUGUAUGUGUGUGUGUGUGUUACAGGGUGUCCCGCGUAGGUGGACAAUAGUUUUAAUCUACAAGAUGGCGGAACAGAAAUUAUGCAAAAUGGAGAAAUGGAAAAGGUUUUCUAAGAUUUCUAGAACCUUCUUAUGAUUUCUAGAAGACUUUCUGGUAUUUUUUAAUUGCUCUUGAACUUCUUUAGGAUUUUCCUAGAUUUUAAGACCAAAAUCAGUUUGUAGGAGUGUAUGGUCCAUUUGCAUGGGACACCGUGUAUAUGUGUGUCUGUGUGUCACCGUUAUGCGAAACAUAUGGUCGCGACCGUCGAUCACCCACUUCUCCCGCUUUACGUCCUAAAAUCUAGCUUCGCGGAUGUUCGUUCGAGGGUCCGAAACAUUUUGAGCUAGACGUGGAAAAAUAAUCUAUUGUUGCAAACGUCGUAUGAUAGAAGUCCGCACACUCGUACGUAUUUACAUACAUACAUGUACACACGGAACACGUUCCACUACAUUUCUUCUUAUUUAAUUUUUUUAAUUCUUUAUUAUAUUUAGUCUAAAAAGGAUCGACGAUCGUGCUGCUUCGAAACAAAUCGACGAAGAGGAAACGUCUGAUGUAGGAUCCUUUCUUUUUUAAAAUCGUUCGAUGAUAUUACGCUACUAGUUUCGUGGAUAUAAAUACACUAGCACUUAUAACAAACGCAAUGUACCAACGCGUGAUUCCAUUACGUUUGAUUAGGUUUGAUUGAGUUUGAGCAACGUCCGCGGAUCACUUUCGAUCGCGCGAACAAAGUGAUUCUAUAAAAUGGUUCCAAGCGAAUGAUACUCAUACAGCACCCUUUCGAAACAGCAUAAUUGUCGAUGGAAUAAAUUUCUUUUUUUUUUCGUUAUAAUAUCGCACUUUGCGAUUAGAAUCACGUGAAACACGUGGCAGUAACAUCGAGAUUACGUAAAAACAUUGCACUUUUCGUGAAAAAUAUUCGCCGGAAACGCAUGGGUUUUGAUCGGUACGUAUCUUCACCGAUUUAUUCUUGCGAGUUUAACUGAAGAGAAAGAAAAUACCCUCCUUUUCUAUAUUAGGUACAUCCGUGCUACUUAGGUUAACACUUUAUCUACCGGUUGCAAAUGAAAAUAAACGCUAUCUUUAUCAUUUAUACUUUCAAUUUCUUCUUAAUCGUAAUACCUAACUUUUAUUGUUUUCACUGACUUAUAGACGAAUAUACAUUCAAUUCCCCUAGGAUCUAUUGUUCACAGAAUUUUUAUGGAAUCACUCUUGAAUCGCCCCGGGAUUACUAGAACUAUUUUGUUUAGAUAUCUAUCGGAUAUCUUUUAGAUCUAGCGGAGCCGGCGCUAUUGAAACGCGCCAAACCCGAAUCGCGUCGAAUUUGAAACGCUAAAUCACAUCAAAUCGUGUUGAAUUAAAAGUGUGUCGAAUUUGAAACGCGUUGAAUUUCGAGCGUGCCAAAUUUGAAUGUCAAAUUGAAUCGCAUCAAGUUCAAAUCGAAUCACAUCUGCGGUCUAUGAAAUUUCAUAUUCAAUUGAAUCAUAUCAAAUUUGAAAUCUAUCGAAUCACGUCAAAUUUGAAAUGCAUCGAAUUUGAAAUAUAUCGAAUCGAAUUAUAGCAAAUUUGAAGUGUAUUGAGUCGAAUUAUAUGAAAUUUGAAAAGCGUAGAACCGAAUCGUCAAAUUUGAAAUGCAUCGAAUUUUAAACGCGCCAAAUUUGAAACUCGAGCUUCAAUUUAAAUCACACAGACCUUAAUUUCUAUUUGCUAUAUUAUAUACUAAUUAUAUCCUGAAAACUAGUAAUUUGACGUACAUUAUAGAGAACAUAAUUUCCUAACUGACCUUGUCAACGUAAACUUACAAGGACUACAAAAUCUUGUUAAUAAAUUCCCGGUAGGUAAAGUGUUAAGCAACAAUGUCAAUGCCGAUUCUCGCAAUUAACUUCCUCGUCAUUUUCACGAUCGAUAUGAUGAACGAAUAGCAAGAUGAUUCCAUGGAAUCGUUCUUUGUUCUUUCGGUACGAUUGAAGUGUAUUUUUACUUGUCUUUGUUCUUUGUCACGAUAUGCAUCGAAAUUGCAUAUCCGGCACACGGUGUUCACAGAAUACCGUGUGUCCUUUUUCGCUCUCCGUUAUUCUCGUAAUUUUUACGAAGUUGCGCGCUUUUUCGAUUGGCAAUUCUGUUCCAUCGUCUUAUUUAUUAACACUUUGACUUUCAUACCAUUUGCUUUCUUCCACUUUAUCGAAUUUAAAAAUAAAAACUCGAGUAUAAUUCUAUCGGUGUAGAAUAUAAAAAGGAAUGCAAAAUUGCAAGAAUGGUUGUAGAAAAUGUACGGCAGUCAAAGUGUCAAUUGAAGUAUCAUUAACCUAUUAACCGAGGAGACUUGUAAUCUUUUACCAAUCAAAACGAUUUUUCGCAAUGAGUAAUCCUCGGUUAAUAGGCUAAUCAACAUUCUACAACUACGUGAAAGCGAUGAACGUUUAGAUUCGAAUGAUUAACGUUAAGAUGAAUGCCAUAGGAGUUUAGCACAUUAAAGUCAUUUAAAUUUCAUUAAAUGAGUAAAAUUGCAUUGAUGAUUGGCAAUGACAAAAUAAUUAAAUUUAAAUAUUUCAACCCCUUAUAUAAUAAUUAAUAUUUAAUAUUAAUUAUAAUUAAUGUUUUUGAUAUCAAAUUCUACUUCAGUCGCAAAUUACGAUACAAACAAAAUCUUGUUAUUUAACAUAUCUUGUAUGAAUUUGAAUUAAAUUGUAAAUGAGAUUUGUGGAAUUGAAAUUUAUCGCACAUUUAUUUUGGCAUUUGCGGUCGACUGAUUCUACUUAAGUGAUAAAACAGCGAUAAGAGGUUAAUUUAUUUUAUCAUUUAUGGUAAUAUCUCCUGUGGCAGUCAAUAUGUUAACGAAGUAAAGAUACUGCACUAAGCUCGAAAAUUAAUUUACGAAAUUAAUUUUGAGCUGAUCUUAACAUUUUAAGGAACAGACAAAUUUUUCAAAUUUGCUAAAUUUUUAAUAUUUCUCAGUUUCCAAUUCUUAAAUGUCCGUCCUUAAAAUGUCAAGCAACCGGAAUUCUUCGUACAAGAAACAUAAUCGAAUAAUCAAUAAAACUGAUUAGCCAUCGCACGCGAUUAGUUCUACGUUAUAAAAUGCGUUUGAUCCACGAAACGAUUUCUAUAAAAAGUGCGACUUCUUAAAAAGUAGAAUCAUUUAACUUGUCAAUCAUUUCAUCAAUACACUAAUAUAAAUUUAUAUCGAAGUAUAAAAUUACAAUCUGUAAAUUACGUACUCACUUUUCGAUUAGGCACGCUAAUUCUUUUUACUGUAAUUUAAAUAUUCGAAUGUGUUUAUUAUAAAAUUUGACAACUUUCGAAAGACGUUAAAAUACGAUAAGAUGCGCAGUUUCGAUUAUAAUUUUAUAAAGUUUCAAUCAUAAUUUUUAAAAUUGAAACUGUUCAAUUAUAAUUUUAAAAAUUGAAACUUUGUGUCGAUGAGAUACAUCUUAUCAUAUUUUUCGGAUAGAGUACCUUAUCAGAAAGGGAUUGUAAACUUUCUCGCUAGAACGUAGUUCUAAUAGUGAUAUCAACUUUGAGAUUACGAAAUUUCAUCGAAAAAUACAAAUGUAUAUUCAGUACGAUCGCAGGUUGAGUGCAGUUAAGUUUCUACUUAAACUUUUCGUUCAUAUUCUUCUUUCCAUUUACUUUCUAAGAUCUUUCACGCGUGUUGCAACCGAUAAACUACAAUCACUACGUUCUUGCAAGACCUGGUCACGUAGAAAGAGUGUAUAGUAAAAUCGUGGUUUAUUUUGUUCUUCGGCACUUCGUCAUACGUUUAAAAUAGUACGACGUUUUCGAGCGACGUUGUGUGGGGAAAAAUCAUCAAUCCGUUUGAGCAUAUAAUUUAUGCGCUAAGAAAAAAAAUAUUAUCGUUUGUCUCUUAAUUAUAAAAACUUGUAAAACUUCUUAUCGUUGAAGAUUCUUAGUACUUCUUUUGAAAGAAUUUUUCUUUCGCAUGUGAUUUACAGUGAGAAGUCUUUAACGAUAUUCGGCUACUUUGAUAACAAAAACGAUUUUAGAUACCUUUCGUUACUGCCAAGAGAGUUUAUAGAAAGGCAGCACGCGGAACGUAAUGGUGCUUUACAUUUAUGUUACAAGAUGUGAGAUUUAGUAUAGUUAUUGUACGAAGUAAAUUUGUCUUAGAUUUAUUAACA
RNAcentral lists this long non-coding RNA (4306 nucleotides) under Megachile rotundata (alfalfa leafcutting bee). RNAcentral describes it as "uncharacterized LOC105661821, transcript variant X2". The record is from RNAcentral. Lineage: Eukaryota; Metazoa; Arthropoda; Insecta; Hymenoptera; Megachilidae.